GCGAGAUUGGUGGAAUUGGCAGACACGCUAGACUUAGGAUCUAGUGCCUAGGCGUGAGAGUUCAAGUCUCUCAUCUCGCA
Molecule: transfer RNA, 80 nt
Filed under: Treponema sp.
Lineage: Bacteria; Pseudomonadati; Spirochaetota; Spirochaetia; Treponematales; Treponemataceae
Also listed under: 3 other names
Description: tRNA-Leu
Rfam family: tRNA
About the family: Transfer RNA (tRNA) molecules are approximately 80 nucleotides in length. Their secondary structure includes four short double-helical elements and three loops (D, anti-codon, and T loops).
Source: RNAcentral